Molecule: long non-coding RNA, 667 nt
Filed under: Brassica napus (rape)
Lineage: Eukaryota; Viridiplantae; Streptophyta; Magnoliopsida; Brassicales; Brassicaceae
Description: long non-coding RNA (BNAP_LNC020790)
Source: RNAcentral
GAAGAAGGCUGGGUGUAGCUAUAGUCUUGGCCCAUGUUUCUUAAACCUGAAAUAAAAAAUCAUGUAAGCGAAGAUACACAACAACAAUCACAAAGAAAAUCAACAAUCACAACAAGCAAAAGUAAAACAUGACUACAACAAGCAAAACUAACACUUAUAAUCAGUAACAAAGACAAGAACUAAAACAUUCCUAAACUCGGGUAGUGGGUUCAAAACCUACGACGAAUCGAAAUCAAACAUAAACAAAGAUGGUAGACAAGAGGAUAUAGAAGAUGAGAAUCAAGAGCAAACCGAGAAGAAAACUAUAAAUCUAUAUAUAAAUCCCCAAUCCGAUUUUCUCAAUCCCUAACCUUUAAUCGCGAGGAUAACAACAAACAAGCGAAUUGAAAAAGAAGAAAAUUUUAAACCUAGAAGAAAACCCUAAUUUCGAUUGAAAUCCCAAAUCCGAUUUGAAACCCUAAAGCUAUUAAAACCAAACAAUUGAACCCAUUUGAGUGAUGAAAUCGACAUGCAUCAACUAGAGAAGGAAAAAAAAUUAACUAAAAGCUCAGAUUCACCUUCAAGAAAGUCGAUCGCGAAUCGCCUAUGUUAUCGCCUCUCUCUCGACUCUGCUUUUUUUUUUCUGCUUGAAACGAUAAUGACGCGGCUCGCGUUAUUUCCACCCCCU